UUUGUAAAUUAUGGUGGAAAAUAAGUAUUUGCUCAAUAACAAAAUUCAACUCAGAGGUUUUGGCUUAAAAUAUCACGAUACGUGGCCCCAUUCAUUCUUUCCUUAACACGGCUCAGUCAUCCUGUCCCCUUUGCAGAAAAACAGCCUUAAAGCAUGAUGUUUCCACCCCCAUGCUUCACAGUAGAUAUGGUGUUCUUGGAAUGCAAUGCAGCAUUCUUCUUCCUCCAAACAC
Long non-coding RNA from Thalassophryne amazonica, 232 nucleotides. RefSeq lists it as uncharacterized. Lineage: Eukaryota; Metazoa; Chordata; Actinopteri; Batrachoidiformes; Batrachoididae. The record is from RefSeq and is a predicted model, not a curated record. The transcript is spliced from 2 exons.